CGGUAGRCCCUACGGACUUAAAAUCCGUUGGCUUUUUAGACCGUGAGGGUUCAAGUCCCUCUAUCCCCA
Molecule: transfer RNA, 69 nt
Filed under: Tricholepidozia leratii
Lineage: Eukaryota; Viridiplantae; Streptophyta; Jungermanniopsida; Jungermanniales; Lepidoziaceae
Description: Neolepidozia leratii partial tRNA-Leu
Rfam family: tRNA
About the family: Transfer RNA (tRNA) molecules are approximately 80 nucleotides in length.
Source: RNAcentral